Molecule: ribosomal RNA, 486 nt
Filed under: uncultured bacterium
Lineage: Bacteria
Description: partial 16S ribosomal RNA
Rfam family: Bacterial small subunit ribosomal RNA
Source: RNAcentral
AUUGAACGCUGGCGGCAUGCCUUACACAUGCAAGUCGAACGGCAGCACGGGUGCUUGCACCUGGUGGCGAGUGGCGAACGGGUGAGUAAUACAUCGGAACAUGUCCUGUAGUGGGGGAUAGCCCGGCGAAAGCCGGAUUAAUACCGCAUACGAUCCACGGAUGAAAGCGGGGGACCUUCGGGCCUCGCGCUAUAGGGUUGGCCGAUGGCUGAUUAGCUAGUUGGUGGGGUAAAGGCCUACCAAGGCGACGAUCAGUAGCUGGUCUGAGAGGACGACCAGCCACACUGGGACUGAGACACGGCCCAGACUCCUACAGGAGGCAGCAGUGGGGAAUUUUGGACAAUGGGCGAAAGCCUGAUCCAGCAAUGCCGCGUGUGUGAAGAAGGCCUUCGGGUUGUAAAGCACUUUUGUCCGGAAAGAAAUCCUUGACUCUAAUACAGUCGGGGGAUGACGGUACCGGAAGAAUAAGCACCGGCUAACUACGUG